RNAcentral lists this small RNA (609 nucleotides) under synthetic construct. RNAcentral's name for it is "partial ERD15". The record is from RNAcentral.
ACCAGGUCUCAGGAGAUGGCGUUAGUUUCAGGAGGAAGGUCGACACUGAAUCCGAAUGCACCUCUUUUCAUCCCGUCUUAUGUGCGUCAAGUGGAGGACUUUUCACCCGAAUGGUGGAAUUUGGUGACAACUUCGACAUGGUUCCAUGAUUAUUGGACGAGGCAGCAUCAAGGAGAGGAAUAUGGCGAUGAUGCUUUUGGUUUUACUGGGAAUGAUGUUGCUGACUUGCUUCCCGAAAAUAUCGAUCUUGAUGUUGAUGAAGAUAUUUUGAACAUGGAAGCUCAGUUUGAAGAAUUCCUCCAAUCAUCUGAAAGUGAACAACAAGGAAUCAAGUCAUCACCCUAUGGUAUCAGUGGUAUGCUUCUAUUUGGUAUAUAUCUCCAUUAUCUUACAAUUAUAGUCAUGAUAGUGAUAGAGCCACAAAUUUAUACUAGGGGAUUCAAAAGUAUACUGACCAAGGGUUCGGAGGCACUCGUAAGGACACUGAGCAUAUCAAAGGGGCCAAAAUCUCCCAUUGAGCCACCAAAGUACUAUGAGAAACCAGCAAAGAUUGUUAGCCCAAAGAACAGCCUUCGCCGCAUCCAGCAACCUCGCACGAUGAGACCUGGU